Molecule: ribosomal RNA, 539 nt
Filed under: Vibrio sp. C1053774
Lineage: Bacteria; Pseudomonadati; Pseudomonadota; Gammaproteobacteria; Vibrionales; Vibrionaceae
Description: bacterial SSU rRNA
Rfam family: Bacterial small subunit ribosomal RNA
Source: RNAcentral
UGGAGAGUUUGAUCCUGGCUCAGAUUGAACGCUGGCGGCAGGCCUAACACAUGCAAGUCGAGCGGAAACGAGUUAUCUGAACCUUCGGGGAACGAUAACGGCGUCGAGCGGCGGACGGGUGAGUAAUGCCUGGGAAAUUGCCCUGAUGUGGGGGAUAACCAUUGGAAACGAUGGCUAAUACCGCAUAAUAGCUUCGGCUCAAAGAGGGGGACCUUCGGGCCUCUCGCGUCAGGAUAUGCCCAGGUGGGAUUAGCUAGUUGGUGAGGUAAGGGCUCACCAAGGCGACGAUCCCUAGCUGGUCUGAGAGGAUGAUCAGCCACACUGGAACUGAGACACGGUCCAGACUCCUACGGGAGGCAGCAGUGGGGAAUAUUGCACAAUGGGCGCAAGCCUGAUGCAGCCAUGCCGCGUGUAUGAAGAAGGCCUUCGGGUUGUAAAGUACUUUCAGCAGUGAGGAAGGYKSRUGYGUUAAUAGCGCUAUKSRUUUGACGUUAGCUGCAGAAGAAGCACCGGCUAACUCCGUGCCAGCAGCCGCGGUA